AACGAACGCUGGCGGCAUGCCUAACACAUGCAAGUCGAACGAGACCUUCGGGUCUAGUGGCGCACGGGUGCGUAACGCGUGGGAACCUGCCCUUAGGUUCGGAAUAACUCCCCGAAAGGGGUGCUAAUACCGGAUAAUGUCUUCGGACCAAAGAUUUAUCGCCUUUGGAUGGGCCCGCGUUGGAUUAGCUAGUUGCUAGCGUAAAAGCCUACCAAGGCGACGCUCCAUAGCUGGUCUGGGAGGAGGAUCAGCCACACUGGGACUCAGACACGGCCCACUCUCGUCCGGAACGCUGCAGUGGGGAAUAUUGGAGAAUGGGCGAAAGCAUGAGCCAGCAAUGUCGCGUGAGUGAUGAAGGCCUUAGGGUUGUAACGCUCUUUUACACGGGAUGAUAAUGACAGUACCGGGAGAAUAAGCCCCGGCUAACUCCGUG
RNAcentral lists this ribosomal RNA (433 nucleotides) under uncultured bacterium. RNAcentral's name for it is "partial 16S ribosomal RNA". It matches the Rfam family "Bacterial small subunit ribosomal RNA", at positions 29 to 507 of the family's 1533-position model. The record is from RNAcentral.